UGAAUACGAGAUGCUACGGCGUCGAAGCAGUCUAUGUCAUACUUCCAAGAAAAGCUUGCACUGUCAUAAACAAAUAAUGCCUGUACCAUAACCGACACAGGUGGGUAGGUAGAGUAUACUAAGGGGCGCGAGAUAACUCUCUCUAAGGAACUCGGCAAAAUGACUCCGUAACUUCGGGAGAAGGAGUGCCUUAUUUAUAAGGUUGCAAUAACAAGAUCCAAGCAACUGUUUACCAAAACACAGGUCUCCGCUAAGUCGUAAGACGAUGUAUGGGGGCUGACGCCUGCCCAGUGCCAGAAGGUUAAAGAAGUUGGUUAGCAUCCGCGAAGCUGAUAACUGAAGCCCUGGUGAACGGCGGCCGUAACUAUAACGGUCCUAAGGUAGCAAAAUUCCUUGUCGGGUAAGUUCCGACCCGCACGAAAGGCGUAAUGAUUUGGAUACUGUCUCGGAGAGGGGCUCAGUGAAAUAGACUUGUCUGUGAAGAUGCGGACUACCUGCACCAGGACAGAAAGACCCUAUGAAGCUUUACUGUAACCUGAAAUUGAAAUUGGACUUUACUUGCGCAGUAUAGGUGGGAGGCGUUGAGAAUAUUCUUGCGGGAUUAUUGGAGCCAUCAGUGAGAUACCACUCUUGUAAUGUUAGAUUUCUAACUUUGUAUCAUUAUCUGGUCAAAGAACAGUUUCAGGCGGGCAGUUUGACUGGGGCGGUCGCCUCCUAAACGGUAACGGAGGCGCACAAAGGUUUCCUCUGAACGGGUAGAAAUCGUAUCUAGAGUGUAAAGGCAUAAGGAAGCUUGACUGUGAGACCUACAAGUCGAGCAGGGACGAAAGUCGGUCUUAGUGAUCUGACGGUGCUGAGUGGAAAGGCCGUCACUCAACGGAUAAAAGUUACUCUAGGAUAACAGGCUGAUCUCCCCCAAGAGUUCACAUCGACGGGGAGGUUUGGCACCUCGAUGUCGGCUCAUCGCAUCCUGGGGCGGUAGUACGUCCCAAGGGUUGGGCUGUUCGCCCAUGAAAGCGGUACGCGAGCUGGGUUCAGAACGUCGUGAGACAGUUCGGUCCAUAUCCGGUGUAGGCGUUAGAAUAUUGAGAGGAGCCUUCUUUAGUACGAGAGGACCGAGAAGGACAUACCUCUGGUGUACCAGUUAUCGUGCCAACGGUAAACGCUGGGUAGCUAUGUGUGGAGUGGAUAACCGCUGAAAGCAUCUAAGUGGGAAGCCCACCUCAAGAUAAG
Molecule: ribosomal RNA, 1233 nt
Filed under: metagenome
Description: bacterial LSU rRNA
Rfam family: Bacterial large subunit ribosomal RNA
Source: RNAcentral